This 24-nucleotide non-coding RNA is filed under the name Arabidopsis thaliana (thale cress). The record is from RNAcentral. Lineage: Eukaryota; Viridiplantae; Streptophyta; Magnoliopsida; Brassicales; Brassicaceae.
AGUUAAAUCUGGAUAUCAUACGGC